GAUGAACGCUGGCGGCGUGCCUAAUACAUGCAAGUCGAGCGAACAGACGAGGAGCUUGCUCCUCUGACGUUAGCGGUGGACGGGGGAGUAACACGUGGAUAACCUACCUAUAAGACUGGGAUAACUUCCGGAAACCGGAGCUAAUACCAGAUAAUAUAUUGAACCUCUUGGUUCAAUAGUUUAAUACGUUUUUGCUUUCACUUAUAGAUGGUCCCACUCCGCAUUAGCUAGUUGGUAAGGUAAAGGCUUACCAAGGCAACUAUCCGUACCCGACCUGAUAGGAUAAACGGCCACACAGGAACUGAGACACGCUCCAGACUCCUACGGGAGGCAACAGUAGGGAAUCGUCCGGAAUGAGCGAAAGCAUGACAGAACAAACACGCGUGAGAGAUGAAGGUCUUAGGAUCGUAAAACUCUGUUAUGAGGGAAGAACAAAUGUGUAAGUAACUAUGCACGUCUUGACGGUACCUAAACAGAAAGCCACGGCUAACUACGUG
RNAcentral lists this ribosomal RNA (497 nucleotides) under uncultured bacterium. RNAcentral's name for it is "partial 16S ribosomal RNA". It matches the Rfam family "Bacterial small subunit ribosomal RNA", at positions 28 to 507 of the family's 1533-position model. The record is from RNAcentral.